This 784-nucleotide unclassified non-coding RNA is filed under the name Hevea brasiliensis (rubber tree). Lineage: Eukaryota; Viridiplantae; Streptophyta; Magnoliopsida; Malpighiales; Euphorbiaceae. The record is from RNAcentral.
AAAAAAUGAAAUAACUAUCAUUCUUUACGCACUACAAAUAUGUAUGUUUGAUUAAAACUGUCCUAUAUGUUUGGCAGCAUACGUUGAUAAAAAUCAGAGAGUUUUCUCAGUAGCCAAUACCAUCCUCCUCACCCUAGAAAGUAUUUUAUCCUUCUAUGGUUCUUCACAAUACUAAAUAUUUGUAAGAAAAGCGCAUUACCUUUUUCGUCCUCUUUGUUUGGGUAAAUUCAAAUGCAAAAUAUAUAUUACCCUAUAAUAUGUUAGUUGGGAUUAGGUAGCAAAUUAGCAAUACGUCAGACCUAGUAUUGUUUAGCCUUGGCAACUGUAAUUAUGCUCAUUGAACAGCAUGGAUUAUACAUAUGUUGCAGGUAGCUUGUGGGACUCUAUUGAGAUUACAAUAAUUAAGUUAACAAAAAUAGUACUGGAAGUUUAUUGUUGAAUUUUUUACCAUACUAAAUUAAAGGAUACUUUUAACUUCUUUUUCUUUUUAUAUAAUUUUGCUCUGAUAUUUUUUUGUUUUAUUUGUUGUUUUAGACCCUGUGGAUGCAAGUAAGUAUAUCUAGACCCUUGCUUUUAAUUGUCAAGCCACUAGUGUUCGUUGAAGCUAUUGGGAUGGGAAUGUAAUUUACUUGAUUGUCAUCUGAACUUUUAUUCUAUCUCAUGAGUUCUUUAUGUGCCUUGCUUUCACAAAAUUUUCUGAACAAAAUUUAUUAAAGUUUCUAUAGUUUAUGCAAUUUCCAUGAUUAGCCUUUGGAAAGAUGGCAUUUUGCACUUCUGAUUAGCU